GUUAUAGAAAAAAUCAAUUAACCUUUCUAUUAGUGAACGGCUAGGUGCCAAACGGAGAGUAUCAGCUGGAACUAAAUCGAGCAAUUUUAUUAUUUGCUUACACUUAACAUUGGUCUCAAUGUCUCAUAGUAUCACCUUUUUAAUUCCACCUGUGACAUUGCCUUCAUCUCAUUUCCAGGGCAUGAAAGAGACGAGCUUAAUUUAUCCUUAACUGCAAUGACAUAAGUAGUGUUCGUCCUCCCCUCCUGCCACCGCCAUUCUACACCAUCCAAAGGCACCUUCAAUGUGGACAAAAGUAUAUCUCAGAGCAAUGUGAAAUCCUCCAUGGUUUGCCACCGGUUUGCUGGCCCUGCGCCAAAUGCACGCUGUGCAAACUUGACAAGACACUGCAAAUAAGUCAGUGACAAAGAUUCAAAUUAAUUGUUUCCGGUUUAUUAUAAUAACCUAUUCUGAUUAACCAGUUUUUCAUUAUCACAUCAAUUUUAUGUGCAAGUUGUUCUAUUUACCAUUGUAACAAAACAAUAUUUCAUUUUGUAUUGUAAUAACUUUCAUAACAGUGUGAGACAAGAGGCUGUUAAAAAUACUUCCUAUAGUAUUUCACGAGAAGAAUACUCCACUCCUCUAUUCACAAUAGAAUCCCUUGUGCCACCAGGUUUGAAAUUUUGGGCUUGGACAAUCUGGAACUGCACCGCCUGUAGUCUGAUCUAAGCAUAGUACACAAAAUUGUCGGCUACAACGUCUUACCUGUCAACAACUUCUUCAGCCUCAACCUCAAUAAUACACGGGCAAACAAUUGAUACAAACUCAAGGUAAACCGCUCUGAACUCGAUUGCAGAAAAUACGACUUCAGCAACAGUGGUCAACGCCUGGAAUGCUCUACCCAACUCCGUUGUUACAUCCUCAAGCCCUCACAGCUUCAGCUUUAAACUGUCUAUCAUUGACCUCACCCCAUUCCUAAGAGGUCCGUAAAGGGGGCAUGCAUAAGUGUACCAUCAUGCCUACUGUCCCCAUCCUACUCUCCCCAUUUAUUUGUAUUCAUUUCUUUUGUUCCUAUCCAUGUUCAUAUUCAUACAUGCUAUCUUGUAUAUGCUUGACAAACUAAUAAAUUAA
Molecule: long non-coding RNA, 1110 nt
Organism: Ahaetulla prasina
Lineage: Eukaryota; Metazoa; Chordata; Lepidosauria; Squamata; Colubridae
Exons: 3
Source: RefSeq, a predicted model, not a curated record